Molecule: ribosomal RNA, 185 nt
Filed under: uncultured bacterium
Lineage: Bacteria
Description: partial 16S ribosomal RNA
Rfam family: Bacterial small subunit ribosomal RNA
Source: RNAcentral
AGUAUGAUGAGGAAGCCCUUGGCUCCACCGGAGAAUUGCAUCAGAAACUGUUGAACUUGAGUGCAGAAGAGGAGAGUGGAACUCCAUGUGUAGCGGUGGAAUGCGUAGAUAUAUGGAAGAACACCAGUGGCGAAGGCGGCUCUCUGGUCUGCAACUGACGCUGAGGCUCGAAAGCAUGGGUAGCG